GGGCUGUUAGCUUAAUGGUAAAGCACUCGGCUCAUAACCGAUGAAUCAGAGUUCAAUUCUCUGGCGGCCUA
This 71-nucleotide transfer RNA is filed under the name Caudoviricetes sp. Its description in RNAcentral is "tRNA-Met". It matches the Rfam family "tRNA". From Rfam's summary of the family: Transfer RNA (tRNA) molecules are approximately 80 nucleotides in length. Their secondary structure includes four short double-helical elements and three loops (D, anti-codon, and T loops). Lineage: Duplodnaviria; Heunggongvirae; Uroviricota; Caudoviricetes. The record is from RNAcentral.